RNAcentral lists this ribosomal RNA (104 nucleotides) under Acanthosepion pharaonis. Lineage: Eukaryota; Metazoa; Mollusca; Cephalopoda; Sepiida; Sepiidae. The record is from RNAcentral.
AUCACAUUGAAACAUUGGUACCCAUACGAUCACCGAAGUUAAGCAACGUCGAGCCUGGUCAAUACCUAGAUGGAUAACCGCUUGGGAGUACCAGGUGCUGUAAG